GAGAGGGGCGCGGAUCCAGCAAGCUGCCCUCAGCAGCCUGGCUCCGUUAUUUAUAACCGUGGGUCGCCUUACCUCCUGACCUUCAGCGGGGACCAGCUAUCCAACGCGAUUAGCAUCUCUCCCGCUGCACACUAAGAACAAACACCCCUCUGUGUGGCCUCCAGGAGGGCUUGCAGGAAACAGGAUGUUGACCCGAGGCUCCUCAGGGUGGAUCCAGUCCCAAGAUACCGCAUUCCCCACCAUGGUGAUGGACCCCUGGAGAAAGGAGACGCCCCGAGUGCCUGAGUGCAGUUAAAGGGAUCUAGGAAGAAGGCGUGUAAAGGUGUUGAUGCUUUCCCAGUCUGCCUGUCUCCAGGAUCCCUCAGGAAACACAGGGCUUAAGAUGUUCCCAGGCAGUAAAAUCACCUCUUUGUGAAGAAUGCCUUAUGCUGCUGCUCCUGAUUCUUUGUGAAGACCUCUGGGCAGUUUCUCCAAAGAAGCAGCAUGGAUGGCAUGCCAGCUCGCAUGGACGCAGGCAUGCACACCUGCUCCCACAGAUGCAGACCAAACCAGAGCAUGAAAAGCCAGUAGCUGAAAAUCCACUUCUGAAUUUGGAACUCAAACUACAGAUCUUUGUCUAGGAUGAGUCAAUGGUAUAAGAAGGUAGGCUUGUUGACAAAGGGCAAUAGGAAAAAGAAACUGAGGCACCUGCCCGGAAGGAUACGGUGUCUUGUUAAUUGUUGAGUGAUAAAUGAUCUCAUGAGCUUUUGCAACAAAGACUCUCGAGGCCAUCACUGUGGUGCCAAGGAGGAAAACCCAGUUUCUGAACAGUUACUCUACUUUGGGGUGUCUGUGCCUGAGACGCCCUGCUGAUAGCUCCAAAGAUACAAUUUUGCCUUCUUGCUUAGGGAGAGUGAUGCUAUGCUUGAAAAUCAUACCAAAAGCACCGAAACUCUCUGGACUCCAUUCCCUGAAUUCCCUGUUGUGCGUAUGUUAAUUUUCCUUAGUUCUGUGUCUGUUCUCCACGCAUGUGUUGAGGUUGGUUCUUGUUAUA
Molecule: long non-coding RNA, 1033 nt
Organism: Mus pahari (shrew mouse)
Lineage: Eukaryota; Metazoa; Chordata; Mammalia; Rodentia; Muridae
Exons: 3
Source: RefSeq, a predicted model, not a curated record